Molecule: ribosomal RNA, 561 nt
Filed under: Entyloma ficariae
Lineage: Eukaryota; Fungi; Basidiomycota; Exobasidiomycetes; Entylomatales; Entylomataceae
Description: partial large subunit ribosomal RNA
Rfam family: Eukaryotic large subunit ribosomal RNA
Source: RNAcentral
CUAGUAACGGCGAGUGAAGCGGGAAGAGCUCAAAUUUGAAAGCUGUUGCCUUUGGUAACCGCAUUGUAAUCUCGAGAUCUGUUUUCCGCGCUGGACCAUGUACAAGUCCCUUGGAAUAGGGCGUCAUAGAGGGUGAGAAUCCCGUACUUGACAUGGACUCCCAGUGCUUUGUGAUACAGGCUCAACGAGUCGAGUUGUUUGGGAAUGCAGCUCAAAAUGGGUGGUAAAUUCCAUCUAAAGCUAAAUAUUGGGGAGAGACCGAUAGCGAACAAGUACCGUGAGGGAAAGAUGAAAAGCACUUUGGAAAGAGAGUUAAACAGUACGUGAAAUUGUCAAAAGGGAACCGUUUGAAGUUAGUCAUGCUUGCCUGGACUCAGCCUUGCUUUUGCUUGGUGCAUUUCCAGGUACGCAGGUCAGCAUCGGUUUUGACUGCUGGAUAAGGGUGAGAGGAAUGUGGCACCCUCGGGUGUGUUAUAGCCUUUCACUGGAUGCAGCAGUUGGGACCGAGGAACGCAGCGCGCCUUUAUGGCGGACCUUCGGGUACCUUCGCGCUUAGGAUGC